CAGUAGCCGCGGUAAUACGUAGGGUGCAAGCGUUAAUCGGAAUUACUGGGCGUAAAGCGUGCGCAGGCGGUUCGCUAAGACAGAUGUGAAAUCCCCGGGCUUAACCUGGGAACUGCAUUUGUGACUGGCAAGCUAGAGUGUGGCAGAGGGGGGUGGAAUUCCGCGUGUAGCAGCGAAAUGCGUAGAUAUGCGGAGGAACACCGAUGGCGAAGGCGGCCAUCUGGGACAACACUGACGCUGAGGCACGAAAGCGUGGGGAGCAAACAGGAUUAGAUACCCCCGUAGUCCCUGUCUCUUAUAU
Molecule: ribosomal RNA, 301 nt
Filed under: uncultured bacterium
Lineage: Bacteria
Description: partial 16S ribosomal RNA
Rfam family: Bacterial small subunit ribosomal RNA
Source: RNAcentral